AAAAGCUCGGAUUUUGUUCUAGUCCCAAGAUUGAUCCACCAGAAGCCAUCUUUAAUUCUUCCACAGAAUAUGGUAGUUCGGAUGAAAAUUCCAGCAGUAAUCUGGAUUUUCCUAGAAGAAAAUUUGUGGUAACUUUUUCUUCAGAAGAAUGGAAAAAAAUAAAACCUGAUGAUGUGCAAUACAGACUGCAUGAUAAAAAACGACCAUCACAAAGUUUUAAAACGUACUAUGCAUUAACCAAAAAUCAAUGGACACCUAUUUUGGCUGAACAUUUUUGGGUGCAUACACAACUUCCAUGCUGCUUAUCAUUCCGCAAAGCAAAUGUUCAUCCACAUGGAACAAACUUUGUGACCGUAUUUGGACGAUGUAGUGUAUGCAGCUCAUGCUUUAAAGGGAUUAUUUCUGAAAAACCAUUAGAUAAUGAAAAGGUAUUAAUGCAAUGCACGUAUACGGGGAAUUUUGACAUGUUGCAC
This is a long non-coding RNA of Metopolophium dirhodum (rose-grain aphid), 473 nucleotides long. RefSeq lists it as uncharacterized. Lineage: Eukaryota; Metazoa; Arthropoda; Insecta; Hemiptera; Aphididae. The transcript is spliced from 3 exons. The record is from RefSeq and is a predicted model, not a curated record.